RNAcentral lists this ribosomal RNA (253 nucleotides) under uncultured bacterium. Its description in RNAcentral is "partial 16S ribosomal RNA". It matches the Rfam family "Bacterial small subunit ribosomal RNA", at positions 524 to 776 of the family's 1533-position model. The record is from RNAcentral.
UACAGAGGUCUCAAGCGUUGUUCGGAUUCAUUGGGCGUAAAGGGGGCGUAGGCGGCGCGGUAAGUCGGGUGUGAAAUUUCGAGGCUUAACUUCGAAACUGCAUUCGAUACUGCCGUGCUUGAGGACUGGAGAGGAGACUGGAAUUUACGGUGUAGCGGUGAAAUGCGUAGAUAUCGUAAGGAAGACCAGUGGCGAAGGCGGGUCUCUGGACAGUUCCUGACGCUGAGGCACGAAGGCCAGGGGAGCAAACGGG